AGAUUUCUUCAAACAGAUCGCAUCAUCAAGGUCAAUAAGAAAACAGGAUUACCCAUGAUAAAUCUGUACACAGACCGAGAGACAGGGAAGCUUAAAGGGGAGGCUACUGUUUCCUUUGAUGACCCUCCUUCUGCAAAAGCAGCCAUCGAUUGGUUUGAUGGUAAGGAUUUUAGUGGAAAUCCUAUCAAGGUGUCCUUCGCUACUCGCAGAGCUGA
This is a long non-coding RNA of Cyprinus carpio (common carp), 215 nucleotides long. RefSeq lists it as uncharacterized. Lineage: Eukaryota; Metazoa; Chordata; Actinopteri; Cypriniformes; Cyprinidae. The record is from RefSeq and is a predicted model, not a curated record. The transcript has 3 exons.